AACGAACGCUGGCGGCAGGCCUAACACAUGCAAGUCGAGCGCGCCCUUCGGGUGAGCGGCGGACGGGUUAGUAACGCGUGGGAAUAUGCCCAAAGGUACGGAAUAGCCUCUGGAAACGGAGAGUAAUACCGUAUGUGCCCUUCGGGGGAAAGGAUUAUCGCCUUUGGAUUAACCCGCGUUAGAUUAGGUAGUUGGUGGGGUAAGUGGCCUACCAAGCCUACAAUCUAUAGCUGGUUUUAGAGGAUGAUCAGCAACACUGGGACGUGAGACACGGCCC
Molecule: ribosomal RNA, 277 nt
Filed under: uncultured Alphaproteobacteria bacterium
Lineage: Bacteria; Pseudomonadati; Pseudomonadota; Alphaproteobacteria
Description: partial 16S ribosomal RNA
Rfam family: Bacterial small subunit ribosomal RNA
Source: RNAcentral